RNAcentral lists this ribosomal RNA (497 nucleotides) under uncultured bacterium. RNAcentral describes it as "partial 16S ribosomal RNA". It matches the Rfam family "Bacterial small subunit ribosomal RNA", at positions 28 to 507 of the family's 1533-position model. The record is from RNAcentral.
GAUGAACGCUGGCGGCGUGCCUAAUACAUGCAAGUCGAGCGAACAGAUGAGGAGCUUGCUCCUCUGACGUUAGCGGCGGACGGGUGAGUAACACGUGGAUAACUUACCUAUAAGACUGGGAUAACUUCGGGAAACCGGAGCUAAUACCGGAUAAUAUAUUGAACCGCAUGGUUCAAUAGUGAAAGACGGUUUUGCUGUCACUUAUAGAUGGAUCCGCGCCGCAUUAGCUAGUUGGUAAGGUAACGGCUUACCAAGGCAACGAUGCGUAGCCGACCUGAGAGGGUGAUCGGCCACACUGGAACUGAGACACGGUCCAGACUCCUACGGGGGGCAGCAGUAGGGAAUCUUCCGCAAUGGGCGAAAGCCUGACGGAGCAACGCCGCGUGAGUGAUGAAGGUCUUCGGAUCGUAAAACUCUGUUAUUAGGGAAGAACAAAUGUGUAAGUAACUAUGCACGUCUUGACGGUACCUAAUCAGAAAGCCACGGCUAACUACGUG